AUGAUGAGCAGAUUUGCUUCAAAAGCACACUAUCCGUCCGAAGAAACCAUGCGGAGAAGGUGUAAUCCAGAGUUGUCGUAUACAUCUUGCUCCAUGAGUCAUGCUAAGUUCCCUUCGAGGGGAGUGCUUUGUUUCCCAAAGUUAUUGAGGUGCUACUUCUCAGAAGACCAAAGAAGAGCAAUGGAUUCCAAAAUACAGCUACAAAAGAGCAUAAAAACAGGAAGAUGCAAAGUUGGAUUAUAGCUGAUGUCAGUCACCUGUCUUAGCUGUCCUUUAGUGGUACUUAUGGCAGGUUAGAUCCUAAAGGAUUUCUUGGCUUCAACUGCCCAGGGGACCAGCAUGCUGACUUUCCAUGUGGGCUAUCUUCCCUCCCAUAGACCCGUGCCUCGCAUAUGUGGAUUCUGUAACUGAAAUUGCACUUAAUAAUAACACAUGUCUCAAAAUCCCUUUAUUUCUGACUUCAGGAACCUUGUACUGCAGCCUUGGUUUAGCAGGUCUCUAGGCUCGAUUCUUUAUCUUGCAGAAAAGCUGUGGACUUGAUCUAUCUUCCUUAUCAGCUUCCUAGGUGUAUGGUUCUGCUCAGGGAACAAGAACUAGCUCUGCAGUUCUCUAGUUGUCCAGUACCCUCCAGUAUUCUCCAGUUG
RNAcentral lists this long non-coding RNA (644 nucleotides) under Struthio camelus australis. RNAcentral describes it as "lncRNA (ENSSCUG00000006883.1)". Lineage: Eukaryota; Metazoa; Chordata; Aves; Struthioniformes; Struthionidae. The record is from RNAcentral.